GGCGAGAUAGCUCAGCCGGUUAGAGCGCAUGAUUCAUAAUCAUGAGGUCGGGGGUUCAAUCCCCCCUCUCGCUACCA
Molecule: transfer RNA, 77 nt
Filed under: Tannerella sp.
Lineage: Bacteria; Pseudomonadati; Bacteroidota; Bacteroidia; Bacteroidales; Tannerellaceae
Description: tRNA-Met
Rfam family: tRNA
About the family: Transfer RNA (tRNA) molecules are approximately 80 nucleotides in length. Their secondary structure includes four short double-helical elements and three loops (D, anti-codon, and T loops).
Source: RNAcentral